RNAcentral lists this long non-coding RNA (481 nucleotides) under Manacus vitellinus (golden-collared manakin). RNAcentral's name for it is "lncRNA (ENSMVIG00005011891.1)". Lineage: Eukaryota; Metazoa; Chordata; Aves; Passeriformes; Pipridae. The record is from RNAcentral.
CCUAUGUCAUAGAGAAUGAGUGCAUUUUCUGAAGCGUAAACACCUAUGACAAGCCUGCUUGCCUUCACUCAACCCCAAAACAUAGAACCUUUCAUUACAAGAUCUGAACCUGACAGACAAUCCAAGAAAUUACAAAAAUUUGGUACAUUCACAAAAACAGAUGAGUUUGUUUAUACAGGUUCUGAAGAUUUCUCAGUGGUCAUCCAUAGAAGACUACAUGCUCAGAAACACCCAGGCUGAGACAACAAGGGCCCACUUUGUUUUACUGGAGAGAACUGGAAGUGCUUUCUCAACACACCUUUUCAUCAUUCAGCUAGCACAGUGGAAGUAUGUAUGCAAACUUGAACUCUCAAGUCAUUAAAGGUGAAGAUAACAAAACUCAGGAUGGAAAAAGAGGAGGAUCAGGAAGGUUACUUUUAUUCCUUGACAAUAGAAAUUGGGGACUGUUUAGCUGGGGCAACCAUAGAACUGUGGAGGACAA